Molecule: non-coding RNA, 28 nt
Filed under: Rattus norvegicus (Norway rat)
Lineage: Eukaryota; Metazoa; Chordata; Mammalia; Rodentia; Muridae
Source: RNAcentral
UAGAACUGUUUAGACUUUCCUGUUCCCU